RNAcentral lists this ribosomal RNA (497 nucleotides) under uncultured bacterium. RNAcentral describes it as "partial 16S ribosomal RNA". It matches the Rfam family "Bacterial small subunit ribosomal RNA", at positions 28 to 507 of the family's 1533-position model. The record is from RNAcentral.
GAUGAACGCUGGCGGCGUGCCUAAUACAUGCAAGUCGAGCGAACAGACGAGGAGCUUGCUCCUCUGACGUUAGCGGCGGACGGGUGAGUCACACGUGGAUAACCUACCUAUAAGACUGGGAUAACUUCGGGAAACCGGAGCUAAUACCGGAUAAUAUAUUGAACCGCAUGGUUCAAUAGUGAAAGACGGUUUUGCUGUCACUUAUAGAUGGAUCCGCGCCGGAUGAGCUAGUUGGUACGGUAACGGCUUACCAAGGCUACGAUGCGUAGCCGACCUGAGAGGGUGAUCGGCCACACUGGAAGUUAGACACGGUCCAGACUCCUACGGGAGGCAGCAGUAGGGAAUCUUCCGCAAUGGGCGAAAGCCUGACGGAGCAACGCCGAGUGAGUGAUGAAGGUCUUCGGAUCGUAAAACUCUGUUAUGAGGGAAGAACAGAUGUGUAAGUAACUAUGCACGUCUUGACGGUACCUAAUCAGAAAGCCACGGCUAACUACGUG